AAAGAAGGCUCUCUUGCGACUUCUAUCUCUUCUUCUUCUUAGCACGACUCGUGUCUCUCUUCUUCUUGCCAAGAUCAGUCUUUUUUCCAUGGUUGCUCUCUCUUCUUCAGUUGGGCUUGUUAAGAUGAAGGUUUGAUUAUUCAAGAACAGAAGAAAGGAAGGGAAGAGAGAGAGCGAGAACAGCUGACGUCAAGUUUUGCUGAGCUAAGAACGGUGGUUUCCCGCCACCACCUGGGUACGAAAUUGUUCACUUGCUCUUCCUCUUCUCUCUUGGCGGCUGGCUCUUUCUCUCAAUACCUCGCUCUAUCUCUUCACUGGCCAGCUCGGUCUCGUGCUCUCUCUCCAUCCUCUCCCUCAUCUUCUCUUCCACCAUUCUAUAGAAAUAGCAUUGUGAUGUUCAAUACGGAUUUUCUUUUGAUGAAAGAGCUGCCUCUUUUGGUUUCUACGGCUAUGCAUAGUGGCAGUUAAGCCUCUUACAGUGGAUGAAAGAUCAUAUUUAUUCAUAAAUGAAGUUGAAA
This is a long non-coding RNA of Prunus persica (peach), 518 nucleotides long. RefSeq lists it as uncharacterized. The record is from RefSeq and is a predicted model, not a curated record. NCBI's taxonomy places the organism in Eukaryota, Viridiplantae, Streptophyta, Magnoliopsida, Rosales, Rosaceae. The transcript is spliced from 2 exons.